RNAcentral lists this ribosomal RNA (250 nucleotides) under uncultured bacterium. RNAcentral describes it as "partial 16S ribosomal RNA". It matches the Rfam family "Bacterial small subunit ribosomal RNA", at positions 86 to 339 of the family's 1533-position model. The record is from RNAcentral.
UGGUGGCGAGUGGCGAACGGGUGAGUAAUAUAUCGGAACGUGCCCAGUAGCGGGGGAUAACUACGCGAAAGCGUGGCUAAUACCGCAUACGCCCUAAGGGGGAAAGCGGGGGAUCUUAGGACCUCGCACUAUUGGAGCGGCCGAUAUCGGAUUAGCUAGUUGGUGAGGUAAUGGCUCACCAAGGCGACGAUCCGUAGCUGGUUUGAGAGGACGACCAGCCACACUGGGACUGAGACACGGCCCAGACUCC